Molecule: ribosomal RNA, 254 nt
Filed under: uncultured bacterium
Lineage: Bacteria
Description: partial 16S ribosomal RNA
Rfam family: Bacterial small subunit ribosomal RNA
Source: RNAcentral
UACGGAGGGUGCAAGCGUUAUCCGGAUUCACUGGGUUUAAAGGGUGCGUAGGUGGUUUUGUAAGUCAGUGGUGAAAGCCCCGGAGCUCAACUCCGGAACUGCCAUUGAUACUGCUUAACUUGAAUCAAGUAGAGGUGGAUGGAAUAAUACAUGUAGCGGUGAAAUGCUUAGAUAUGUAUUAGAACACCGAUUGCGAAGGCAGUUCACUAUGCUUGUAUUGACACUGAGGCACGAAAGCGUGGGGAUCAAACAGG